AGUGAACGCUGGCGGUAGGCCUAACACAUGCAAGUCGAACGGCAGCACAGUAAGAGCUUGCUCUUACGGGUGGCGAGUGGCGGACGGGUGAGGAAUACAUCGGAAUCUACUUUUUCGUGGGGGAUAACGUAGGGAAACUUACGCUAAUACCGCAUACGACCUACGGGUGAAAGCAGGGGAUCUUCGGACCUUGCGCGAUUGAAUGAGCCGAUGUCGGAUUAGCUAGUUGGCGGGGUAAAGGCCCACCAAGGCGACGAUCCGUAGCUGGUCUGAGAGGAUGGUGAGAGACAGUGGAAAUGAGAGACGGUGGGCACACCUACGGGAGGCAGCAGUGGGUAGGAUGGGACAAGGGGCGCAAGCGUGAUCCAGUAAUACUGCGUGAGAGAAGAAGGCAUUCGGGUUGUAAAGGCCUUUUGUUGAGAAAGAAAAGAAGCAGGGUAAUACUUCGCGGUUGUGGCGGUGCCAAAAGAAUAAGAACCGGCUAACUUCGUC
This 492-nucleotide ribosomal RNA is filed under the name uncultured bacterium. Its description in RNAcentral is "partial 16S ribosomal RNA". It matches the Rfam family "Bacterial small subunit ribosomal RNA", at positions 30 to 507 of the family's 1533-position model. The record is from RNAcentral.